GAGCGAUCAAGUGUCUUAAGAGCAUUCGGUGGAUGCCUUGGCGCUGAGAGGCGAUGAAGGACGUGGUACGCUGCGAUAAGCCUUGGGGAGCUGCGAACGAGCUUUGAUCCA
This 111-nucleotide ribosomal RNA is filed under the name Methylobacterium sp. GXS13. Its description in RNAcentral is "partial 23S ribosomal RNA". It matches the Rfam family "Bacterial large subunit ribosomal RNA", at positions 1 to 106 of the family's 2925-position model. Lineage: Bacteria; Pseudomonadati; Pseudomonadota; Alphaproteobacteria; Hyphomicrobiales; Methylobacteriaceae. The record is from RNAcentral.